CAUUUUCAGUAAAGAAGUCCUGAGUAAACACGUUGUCGUUGAAUACCGCUUCUCUGCCGAACCUUAUAUUAGUGCCUCAAGCAGUAAUGUCUCAGUUUUAUCUCAGUCAAUGCCUGCGGGCUAAGAAAACACUCUAAGGAAUUUUGCAAAUGGCAAAGAUUAAAGGUCAAGUUAAGUGGUUCAACGAGUCUAAAGGUUUUGGUUUCAUUACUCCUGCUGACGGCAGCAAAGAUGUGUUCGUACACUUCUCUGCAAUCCAGGGUAACGGCUUCAAAACUCUGGCUGAAGGCCAGAACGUUGAGUUCGAAAUUCAGGACGGCCAGAAAGGCCCAGCUGCAGUUAACGUAACUGCUAU
This 355-nucleotide small RNA is filed under the name Enterobacter cloacae. RNAcentral describes it as "cspA thermoregulator". It matches the Rfam family "cspA thermoregulator", at positions 28 to 370 of the family's 428-position model. Lineage: Bacteria; Pseudomonadati; Pseudomonadota; Gammaproteobacteria; Enterobacterales; Enterobacteriaceae. The record is from RNAcentral.